RNAcentral lists this long non-coding RNA (925 nucleotides) under Ursus maritimus (polar bear). Its description in RNAcentral is "lncRNA (ENSUMAG00000022617.1)". Lineage: Eukaryota; Metazoa; Chordata; Mammalia; Carnivora; Ursidae. The record is from RNAcentral.
GUUCCUUUCUGUAUACUUUGAGACAUUUAAACAAUUUGUUGAACUCAAUUGUAUUGAGAUUUUGUUUCUUGAUUUUUUUUCAGUAAAUAUGUUAAAAGUAUUUCCUCAGAUAAUAAAAAACUCUUUGUUACCCUCUUAAUAGGUUCACAAUAGUUCAUAUUCUGUGGGAAACAUCAUAUUCCUAAACAUUCUACAGUUUCAGACAUUCGGGUGGUUUUUCACAUUUUCCUUUUACUAUGAAGGAGAUGUCCUUGUCUAGAAAUCUUUGGUCAUGUGUCUGAUUAUCUCAUUAGGUGAGAUUCCUUGUCAAGGAUAUGAACAGCUGGAGGACUUCGGAGACACAAAGUCAAGUUGUUGUGCAGUGACAUGGUCCUGGCAUACCCGGUGUGGAGCCUUAGAUGCUUCCUCACAGCAUCAGGAACUGUAAUUCCUAAAACCUCACUCUUUUGACAGGUGUGGCCGGCUGAGGCGAGGGGCCUCGGUGGCAUCCAUUCUCCGAGACGACCGGAAAUGAAUGUCUUUCCUUCCACCCACUAGCAGCUGGAUUGUCAGAGGCCUGGCAGCUUAGCUCUCCUGGCUCCCUCCACCGCUGGGAGGCCAGGGAUGCCGGCAGGCAGAACCCAAACCAAGAAUAUAAGAGUUCAAGAACAGUCCCUACUGAAGCCCACACAAACAUCUGCGUGCCGGGGUUCGGCUGUGGUGGGAGAGGCGGAUGCCAAGCUAAUUGGCAAGUAGCCUGGAUCUGCUACCUCGGGGGACUUCGGGGCUUGGUCCUUGAGCCUCCUGCUCAAUAAUGCAAGGGUUCCGAGACGUUCCCUUCCUUCAUCUGACAGAAUGAGAUGCCCUCGAACUGAGGGUUUUGCGAAAGAACAGAAAAAGUACGAGGACACUGGGUGGAGAGGGGAAGAGGACAGAGAAUGAUAAG